RNAcentral lists this small nuclear RNA (20 nucleotides) under Arabidopsis thaliana (thale cress). RNAcentral describes it as "snRNA_05231". Lineage: Eukaryota; Viridiplantae; Streptophyta; Magnoliopsida; Brassicales; Brassicaceae. The record is from RNAcentral.
UUAAUAUUUGAUUUAACAGU